RNAcentral lists this unclassified non-coding RNA (502 nucleotides) under Hevea brasiliensis (rubber tree). Lineage: Eukaryota; Viridiplantae; Streptophyta; Magnoliopsida; Malpighiales; Euphorbiaceae. The record is from RNAcentral.
AUUGUCUAUGUUGAUGAUAUAGUUGUGACAGAAAAUGAUAAGGGGGAGUUUGCUCAUUUAAAAGAGCACUUGGCUCAGGAAUUUGAAAUUAAAGACCUGAGUAGAUUAAGAUACUUCCUUGGAAUAGAAGUUGCCAGAUCAGACAGAGGGAUUUUUAUUUCUUAAAGGAAGUACGUAUUAGAUCUCUUAGAUGAGAUAGGUAUGUUGGGCUGUAAACCGGCAGAAUCUCCUAUUGAAGCUAAUCACAAGCUGCAAGCUAGAAUUGGGAAGGCAGUUGACAAAGGAAGAUAUUAGAGGUUAGUUAAGAGAUUGAUUUAUCUCUCUCAUACUAGACCAGACACAGCCUAUGCUGUAAGCCUAGUGAGCCAGUAUAUGCAUGAUUCUCGUGAAUCUCAUUUGAAGGUUGUUUUUUGCAUCUUGCGAUACCUAAAAGCUACACCUGGGAAAGAACUUUUUUUCUCAAAGCAUGGUCACCUUCAGAUUAAAGCCUUUACAGAUGCAG